Molecule: ribosomal RNA, 1494 nt
Filed under: Burkholderia sp.
Lineage: Bacteria; Pseudomonadati; Pseudomonadota; Betaproteobacteria; Burkholderiales; Burkholderiaceae
Description: bacterial SSU rRNA
Rfam family: Bacterial small subunit ribosomal RNA
Source: RNAcentral
AUAGGGGGGCUGGCCCUUUAACAUGCAAGUCGAACGGCAGCACGGGUGCUUGCACCUGGUGGCGAGUGGCGCAACUGGGUGAGUAAUACAUCGGAACAUGUCCUGUAGUGGGGGAUAGCCCGGCGAAAGCCGGAUUAAUACCGCAUACGAUCUACGGAUGAAAGCGGGGGACCUUCGGGCCUCGCGCUAUAGGGUUGGCCGAUGGCUGAUUAGCUAGUUGGUGGGGUAAAGGCCUACCAAGGCGACGAUCAGUAGCUGGUCUGAGAGGACGACCAGCCACACUGGGACUGAGACACGGCCCAGACUCCUACGGGAGGCAGCAGUGGGGAAUUUUGGACAAUGGGCGAAAGCCUGAUCCAGCAAUGCCGCGUGUGUGAAGAAGGCCUUCGGGUUGUAAAGCACUUUUGUCCGGAAAGAAAUCCUUGGCUCUAAUACAGUCGGGGGAUGACGGUACCGGAAGAAUAAGCACCGGCUAACUACGUGCCAGCAGCCGCGGUAAUACGUAGGGUGCGAGCGUUAAUCGGAAUUACUGGGCGUAAAGCGUGCGCAGGCGGUUUGCUAAGACCGAUGUGAAAUCCCCGGGCUCAACCUGGGAACUGCAUUGGUGACUGGCAGGCUAGAGUAUGGCAGAGGGGGGUAGAAUUCCACGUGUAGCAGUGAAAUGCGUAGAGAUGUGGAGGAAUACCGAUGGCCGAAGGCAGCCCCCCUGGGCCAAUACUGACGCUCCAUGCACGAAAAGUCGUGGGGGAGCAAAACAGGGAUUUAGAAUACCCUGGGUUAGUUCCACGCCCCUAAACGAUGUCAACUAGGUUGUUGGGGGAUUUCAUUUUCCUUAAUAACGUACCUUAACGCGUGAAGUUGACCGCCUGGGGAGUACGGUCGCAAGAUUAAAACUCAAAGGAAUUGACGGGGACCCGCACAAGCGGUGGAUGAUGUGGAUUAAUUUGAUGCAACGCGAAAAACCUUACCUACCCUUGACAUGGUCGGAAUCCUGCUGAGAGGUGGGAGUGCUCGAAAGAGAACCGGCGCACAGGUGUUGCAUGGCUGUCGUCAGCUCGUGUCGUGAGAUGUUGGGUUAAGUCCCGCAACGAGCGCAACCCUUGUCCUUAGUUGCUACGCAAGAGCACUCUAAGGAGACUGCCGGUGACAAACCGGAGGAAGGUGGGGAUGACGUCAAGUCCUCAUGGCCCUUAUGGGUAGGGCUUCACACGUCAUACAAUGGUCGGAACAGAGGGUUGCCAACCCGCGAGGGGGAGCUAAUCCCAGAAAACCGAUCGUAGUCCGGAUUGCACUCUGCAACUCGAGUGCAUGAAGCUGGAAUCGCUAGUAAUCGCGGAUCAGCAUGCCGCGGUGAAUACGUUCCCGGGUCUUGUACACACCGCCCGUCACACCAUGGGAGUGGGUUUUACCAGAAGUGGCUAGUGUAACCGCAAGGAGGACGGUCACCACGGUAGGAUUCAUGACUGGGGGGAAAGUCGUAAACCAAUGAGGCUG